GGGUUGUGAGGUUAAGCGACUAAGCGUACACGGUGGAUGCCCUGGCAGUCAGAGGCGAUGAAGGACGUGCUAAUCUGCGAUAAGCGUCGGUAAGGUGAUAUGAACCGUUAUAGCCGGCGAUUUCCGAAUGGGGAAACCCAGUGUGAUUCGUCACACUAUCGUUAAGUGAAUACAUAGUUUAACGAAGCGAACCGGGGGAACUGAAACAUCUAAGUACCCCGAGGAAAAGAAAUCAACCGAGAUUCCCCCAGUAGCGGCGAGCGAACGGGGAGCAGCCCAGAACCUGAAUCAGUUUGUGUGUUAGUGGAAGCGUCUGGAAAGUCGCAGGGUACAGGGUGAUACUCCCGUACACUAAAAUGCACAGGCUGUGAGUUCGAAGAGUAGGGCGGGACACGUGGUAUCCUGUCUGAAUAUGGGGGGACCAUCCUCCAAGGCUAAAUACUCCUGACUGACCGAUAGUGAACCAGUACCGUGAGGGAAAGGCGAAAAGAACCCCGGCGAGGGGAGUGAAAAAGAACCUGAAACCGUGUACGUACAAGCAGUGGGAGCCUACUUGUUAGGUGACUGCGUACCUUUUGUAUAAUGGGUCAGCGACUUAUAUUCUGUAGCAAGGUUAACCGAAUAGGGGAGCCGCAGGGAAACCGAGUCUUAACUGGGCGUUAAGUUGCAGGGUAUAGACCCGAAACCCGGUGAUCUAGCCAUGGGCAGGUUGAAGGUUGGGUAACACUAACUGGAGGACCGAACCGACUAAUGUUGAAAAAUUAGCGGAUGACUUGUGGCUGGGGGUGAAAGGCCAAUCAAACCGGGAGAUAGCUGGUUCUCCCCGAAAGCUAUUUAGGUAGCGCCUCGUGAACUCAUCUUCGGGGGUAGAGCACUGUUUCGGCUAGGGGGUCAUCCCGACUUACCAACCCGAUGCAAACUACGAAUACCGAAGAAUGUUAUCACGGGAGACACACGGCGGGUGCUAACGUCCGUCGUGAAGAGGGAAACAACCCAGACCGCCAGCUAAGGUCCCAAAGUCAUGGUUAAGUGGGAAACGAUGUGGGAAGGCACAGACAGCCAGGAUGUUGGCUUAGAAGCAGCCAUCAUUUAAAGAAAGCGUAAUAGCUCACUGGUCGAGUCGGCCUGCGCGGAAGAUGUAACGGGGCUAAACCAUGCACCGAAGCUGCGGCAGCGACACGAUGUGUUGUUGGGUAGGGGAGCGUUCUGUAAGCCGUUGAAGGUGGCCUGUGAGGGUUGCUGGAGGUAUCAGAAGUGCGAAUGCUGACAUAAGUAACGAUAAAGCGGGUGAAAAGCCCGCUCGCCGGAAGACCAAGGGUUCCUGUCCAACGUUAAUCGGGGCAGGGUGAGUCGACCCCUAAGGCGAGGCCGAAAGGCGUAGUCGAUGGGAAACAGGUUAAUAUUCCUGUACUCGGUGUUACUGCGAAGGGGGGACGGAGAAGGCUAUGUCGGCCGGGCGACGGUUGUCCCGGUUUAAGCAUGUAGGCGGAGGUUCCAGGUAAAUCCGGUACCUUAUUAACGCUGAGGUGUGAUGACGAGGCACUACGGUGCUGAAGUGACAAAUGCCCUGCUUCCAGGAAAAGCCUCUAAGCAUCAGGUAACAUCAAAUCGUACCCCAAACCGACACAGGUGGUCAGGUAGAGAAUACCAAGGCGCUUGAGAGAACUCGGGUGAAGGAACUAGGCAAAAUGGUGCCGUAACUUCGGGAGAAGGCACGCUGAUGGUAAGUGAAGCGACUUGCUCGUGGAGCUGAACUCAGUCGAAGAUACCAGCUGGCUGCAACUGUUUAUUAAAAACACAGCACUGUGCAAACACGAAAGUGGACGUAUACGGUGUGACGCCUGCCCGGUGCCGGAAGGUUAAUUGAUGGGGUUAUCCGUAAGGAGAAGCUCUUGAUCGAAGCCCCGGUAAACGGCGGCCGUAACUAUAACGGUCCUAAGGUAGCGAAAUUCCUUGUCGGGUAAGUUCCGACCUGCACGAAUGGCGUAAUGAUGGCCAGGCUGUCUCCACCCGAGACUCAGUGAAAUUGAACUCGCUGUGAAGAUGCAGUGUACCCGCGGCAAGACGGAAAGACCCCGUGAACCUUUACUAUAGCUUGACACUGAACACUGGUCCUUGAUGUGUAGGAUAGGUGGGAGGCUUUGAAGUGUGGACGCCAGUCUGCAUGGAGCCAACCUUGAAAUACCACCCUUUAAUGGCUGGUGUUCUAACGUAGACCCGUCAUCCGGGUUGCGGACAGUGUCUGGUGGGUAGUUUGACUGGGGCGGUCUCCUCCCAAAGAGUAACGGAGGAGCACGAAGGUUAGCUAAUCCUGGUCGGACAUCAGGAGGUUAGUGCAAUGGCAUAAGCUAGCUUGACUGCGAGCGUGACGGCGCGAGCAGGUGCGAAAGCAGGUCAUAGUGAUCCGGUGGUUCUGAAUGGAAGGGCCAUCGCUCAACGGAUAAAAGGUACUCCGGGGAUAACAGGCUGAUACCGCCCAAGAGUUCAUAUCGACGGCGGUGUUUGGCACCUCGAUGUCGGCUCAUCACAUCCUGGGGCUGAAGUAGGUCCCAAGGGUAUGGCUGUUCGCCAUUUAAAGUGGUACGCGAGCUGGGUUUAGAACGUCGUGAGACAGUUCGGUCCCUAUCUGCCGUGGGCGCUGGAGAAUUGAGGGGGGCUGCUCCUAGUACGAGAGGACCGGAGUGGACGCAUCACUGGUGUUCGGGUUGUCAUGCCAAUGGCAUUGCCCGGUAGCUAAAUGCGGAAGAGAUAAGUGCUGAAAGCAUCUAAGCACGAAACUUGCCCCGAGAUGAGUUCUCCCUGACUCUUUAAGAGUCCUGAAGGAACGUUGAAGACGACGACGUUGAUAGGUCGGGUGUGUAAGCGUAGCGAUACGUUGAGCUAACCGAUACUAAUGAACCGUGAGGCUUAACCUUACAACGCCGAAGCUGUU
RNAcentral lists this ribosomal RNA (2932 nucleotides) under Klebsiella sp. Lac1. RNAcentral describes it as "Raoultella sp. Lac1 23S ribosomal RNA". It matches the Rfam family "Bacterial large subunit ribosomal RNA". Lineage: Bacteria; Pseudomonadati; Pseudomonadota; Gammaproteobacteria; Enterobacterales; Enterobacteriaceae. The record is from RNAcentral.